RNAcentral lists this long non-coding RNA (683 nucleotides) under Chrysemys picta bellii (western painted turtle). RNAcentral describes it as "lncRNA (ENSCPBG00000025895.1)". The record is from RNAcentral. Lineage: Eukaryota; Metazoa; Chordata; Testudines; Emydidae.
AGGCCGGGAGGUAGAAGGAGGCUUGGAACCGGCCAUUGAGAAUUUUCAGCACUUUUAAUAUUUCCGCUUUUCUCUCCCCUCCCCGUCGCCCACCCCUCGGGUACCAUGGCCCUUGGUACCCUCCAAGCAGGGCUGUCAUCGCCCUGCGGAUGAGCAGCCUGCCUGACCCGGCACUGCCGCAGAGGCAGAGAAGAGAGGAAGGAGGCCAGCCAGCCGCAUCCAGGCCUAGCUAGCCGCAGUGGGGCUGGCCAGAUACCACUGGGGCACCAUGGGCAAUAGCUGGAUGGAGACUGGCUGAGGAAGAGGAGGAGAUGUCACCGAGGAAGAUCUCAACCCCCCUGUUGGUCCUGCCACCUAGACGCGAAGAGUCUCUUCAUCUCGCAGGUCAGACUCCAUCCCUCACUUCCCGUCCCGGUCCGGGACCAAAGGAAAUUGGGAAAAGCCGAGAUUCCCCUCGGAAGGGAAAAUGCGAGAUUCCACCAGCUCCUUUUGGGGUGUCAGAUUUGGGAGACCUUCGGAGGUGUGGAAAUGAUUUAUAAAUGCAACGGGACAAAGGCAAGCGACUUUGCAGUCGAAUCUCCUGCAGGCUGAGGACAGUGGAAGGAUCCAAAGAGCAAAAACAUCCCAGCCAGAGGUGAGUGGAAAAUAUCCCUUCACGCACAUUGGUUGUGAAAGAGAAAUAG